GGCAGGCCUAACACAUGCAAGUCGAGCGGAAACGACAACAUUGACCCUUCGGGUGAUUUAUUGGGCGUCGAGCGGCGGACGGGUGAGUAAUGCCUGGGAAAUUCCCCUGAUGUGGGGGAUAACCAUCGGAAACGAUGGCUAAUACCGCAUAACGUCUACGGACCAAAGAGGGGGACCUUCGGGCCUCUCGCUUCAGGAUAUGCCCAGGUGGGAUUAGCUAGUUGGUGAGGUAAUGGCUCACCAAGGCGACGAUCCCUAGCUGGUCUGAGAGGAUGAUCAGCCACACUGGAACUGAGACACGGUCCAGACUCCUACGGGAGGCAGCAGUGGGGAAUAUUGCACAAUGGGCGCAAGCCUGAUGCAGCCAUGACCGCGUGUAUGAAGAAGGCCUUCGGGUUGUAAAGUACUUUCAGUCGUGAGGAAGGCAUUAACGUUAAUAGCGUUAGUGUUUGACGUUAGCGACAGAAGAAGCACCGGCUAACUCCGUGCCAGCAGCCGCGGUAAUAC
This 507-nucleotide ribosomal RNA is filed under the name marine sediment bacterium ISA-3225. RNAcentral describes it as "bacterial SSU rRNA". It matches the Rfam family "Bacterial small subunit ribosomal RNA", at positions 41 to 526 of the family's 1533-position model. The record is from RNAcentral.